Long non-coding RNA from Oncorhynchus keta (chum salmon), 409 nucleotides. RefSeq lists it as uncharacterized. Lineage: Eukaryota; Metazoa; Chordata; Actinopteri; Salmoniformes; Salmonidae. The transcript is spliced from 3 exons. The record is from RefSeq and is a predicted model, not a curated record.
UGAGGUGUCGUGUCGUUUCCUGAGCUGAGGUGUUGUGUCGUUUCCUGAGCUGAGGUGUUGUGUCGUUUCCUGAGCUGAGGUGUUGUGUUGUUUCCUGAGCUGAGGUGUUGUUUCCUGAGCUGAGGUGUUGUGUCCUGAGCUGAGGUGUUGUGUCCUGAGCUGAGGUGUUGUGUCCUGAGCUGUUGUGUUGUGUCCUGAGCUGAGGUGUUGUGUCCUGAGCUGAGGUGUUGUGUCCUGAGCUGAGGUGUUGUGUCCUGAGCUGAGGUGUUGUGUCCUGAGCUGAGGUGUUGUGUUGUGUCCUGAGCUGAGGUGUUGUGUUGUGUCCUGAGCUGAGGUGUUGUGUUGUGUCCUGAGCUGAGGUGUUGUGUUGUGUCCUGAGCUGAGGUGUUGUGUUGUGUCCUGAGCUGAG